RNAcentral lists this long non-coding RNA (648 nucleotides) under Elaeis guineensis (African oil palm). RNAcentral's name for it is "long non-coding RNA (EGUI_LNC003964)". The record is from RNAcentral. Lineage: Eukaryota; Viridiplantae; Streptophyta; Magnoliopsida; Arecales; Arecaceae.
UCUGCACAUUACAUCAAUAUAAUAAUAUAAUUUAAAAAUAACAAUAAGUAUAAAAUAUGAAAUCUCAUAUUAAAUAUCCAAAACAACUCAAAGAUCUAUAUAAACAUAUAUCAAACAUAUGUCUUGAUAAAAGAGGUGUCAUCAUAUUUCACUAAGUGAAACUUUUUAUUCAGCAUUAGUUUCAUGUCUUGUCAUCUAUUUCUUUUAUUACAUAUCUAAUUUUUUUAAUUUUUUUUUUGACUUUAGACUAAUAAUCAAGUUCAUACCUCAAUCUCUAUCUGAUCAAAAUUUCAUACAUAAACCUGUGGAGGCUGUUCCAUGCAUGAGCUGCUGGUAGGCUGUCCUAGGUAUGAGAUCCUGGCUGGCUAUCCCAUGUAUAAAUCUGUAGAGGCUGUCUCAGAUAUAAGCUCCUAACGGAUUAUUCUAGACAUAAGCUUCUGACUGACUGUCUCAUAUAUAAGCAUGUGAAGAUUAUUCCAAGUAUAAACUCUAGUGGCUAUCCCAGACAUAAACUCCUAACUGGUUGUCCUAUGUAUAAGCCUAUAGAAGCUGUGAGGUAUAGCUCUUGGCUGGCUAAUCCAGGCAUAAACUUCUGAAGGCUGCUCCAAGCAUAAGCUCCUAGCAGACUGUCCUAUAUAUAAGCUCAUG